ACUCAAAUGAAUUGACGGGAGCUUGCACAAGUGGUGGAGCGUGUGGCUCAAUUCGUCGCUAAGCGAAGAACCUUACCAGGGUUAGAAAUCCUACUGCACGCCCGAGGAAACUCGGGAAGCUUUCGAAGGUGUAGGACAGGUGAUGCACGGCUGUCGUCAGUUCGUGGUUUGAAUCGUUCCCUUCAGUGGGGUAACGAACGCAACCCUCGUUGCCAGUUACAAGUGUCUGGCGAGACUGCCCCCUCACGGGGGAGGAAGGUGAGGAUGACGCCAAGUCAGCGUGUCCCUCUGAUAUCCUGGGCUGCACACGCGCUACAAUCGCCGUUACAAAGAGGCGCAAUACCGUAAGGUGGAGCAAAUCUCUAAAAGCGGCGCCAGUUCGGAUUGGAGUCUGCAACCCGACUCCAUGAAGCCGGAAUCACUAGUAAUCGCGGGUCAGCCACACCGCGGUGAAUACGUUCUCAAGCUUUGUACACACCGCCCGU
RNAcentral lists this ribosomal RNA (485 nucleotides) under uncultured bacterium. Its description in RNAcentral is "partial 16S ribosomal RNA". It matches the Rfam family "Bacterial small subunit ribosomal RNA", at positions 899 to 1397 of the family's 1533-position model. The record is from RNAcentral.